Molecule: ribosomal RNA, 495 nt
Filed under: Triticum aestivum (bread wheat)
Lineage: Eukaryota; Viridiplantae; Streptophyta; Magnoliopsida; Poales; Poaceae
Description: partial small subunit ribosomal RNA
Source: RNAcentral
AUGGAGGCAUCUAAGCUCGCCCUUUUGGUCGUGCUGGCAACGACAGCCGCCAUGGCUAACCCCAGCAAUGCCCAGAACUCGCCACACGACUACGUCGUCGCCCACAACGUCGCUCGCGCCGCCGUGGGCUUGGGCCCUGUGUCCUGGGACGCGUCCGUGGCGGCCUAUGCGGCGAGCUACGCAAGGCAGCGCUCCGGCGAUUGCAAGCUAGUGCACUCAAAGGCACCACAGUACGGGGAGAACCUGUUCUGGGGCUCCGGCAAGGACUGGACGGCGGCGCAGGCCGUGAAGAUAUGGGCCGACGAGAAGGCCAACUACAACUACGCCUCCAACAGCUGCGCCGCCGGGAAGCAGUGCGGGCACUACACGUAGAUAGUGUGGCGCAACUCGACGCAUGUCGGCUGCGCGCGCCUGCUCUGCGACCACAACGCCGGCGUGUUCAUCACCUGCAAUUACAGCCCUCCCGGCAACUACAUUGGGCAGAGGCCAUAUUGA